This 745-nucleotide ribosomal RNA is filed under the name uncultured bacterium. RNAcentral's name for it is "bacterial SSU rRNA". It matches the Rfam family "Bacterial small subunit ribosomal RNA", at positions 8 to 706 of the family's 1533-position model. The record is from RNAcentral.
AGAGUUUGAUCCUGGCUCAGGAUGAACGCUGGCGGCGUGCCUAAUACAUGCAAGUCGAACGCACUGUGGUUCAACUGAUUUGAAGAGCUUGCUCUGAUAUGACGAUGAACAUUGCAGUGAGUGGCGAACGGGUGAGUAACACGUGGGAAACCUACCUCUUAGCGGGGGAUAACAUCUGGAAACAGAUGCUAAUACCGCAUAACACUAGCAACCGCAUGGUUGCUACUUGAAAGAUGGUUCUGCUAUCACUAAGAGAUGGUCCCGCGGCGCAUUAGUUAGUUGGUGGGGUAAUGGCAUCCCCAAGACGAUGAUGCGUAGCCGAGUUGAGAGACUGAUCGGCCCCAAUGGGACUGAGACACGGCCCAUACUCCUACGGGAGGCAGCAGUAGGGAAUCUUCCACAAUGGACGAAAGUCUGAUGGAGCAACGCCGCGUGUGUGAUGAAGGGUUUCGGCUCGUAAAACACUGUUGUAAGAGAAGAAUAGCAUCAAGAGUAACUGCUUGGUGUGUGACGGUAUCUUACCAGAAAGGAACGGCUAAAUACGUGCCAGCAGCCGCGGUAAUACGUAUGUUCCAAGCGUUAUCCGGAUUUAUUGGGCGUAAAGCGAGCGCAGACGGUUUUUUAAGUCCGAAGUGAAAGCCCACAGCUUAACCUGUGGAAGUGCUUUGGAAACUGGAUGACUUGAGUGCAGUAGAGGAGAGUGGAAUUCCAUGUGUAGCGUGAAUGCGUAGAUAAUAUGGAGGAA